CGCUGAUGGACGUUUCGGUGGCUUCCACAUCUUGGCUGCCAUGAAUAAGGGUGCCAUGAACACAGCUUCUCCUCUUUAAAGAGCUUCCUCUCGAAGUAAAUGAAAACCCCACGUUCCACACAGAGAAAGAAGCCACGGGCACCAUGCGUGUGCUUCACACGAGGUACCCGUGCCUCAGUUUCUCAAGGAAUGCCAACUGAUGCCACAGGAAGGCUGGGAAACCUGCACGGGGCACGGUUUCUUAAAAGCCAGUCAACAAUGGAGCCUCCCCAGUUCCUGCAGCCUGACGUCCGGCCCUCUUCUUCCUUCCUGUGGCAAUGAUGGUAGUCACCACUGCACAGUGUAAUUUGUAAAACAGUAAUAGUUUUGCCAACUUCGUAAGACCAGAGGGAGAACUGAGAUAAAGCAAGCGAAGCAUAACAGUAAGUCUCAACAAAUCGUAGCUGUUCUUAAGAUUGCUGUGUAUUUGUAUUCAUUGUCUACGGUGCUGAAGACAAGAGCCAUGCCAACCUCCAUAUCUGGAUUCCUAUUUCAAAGGCUGUGCCCAGCUCAUGGCAGACACACCAUAAAGA
Neofelis nebulosa (Clouded leopard) is the source of this 572-nucleotide long non-coding RNA. RefSeq lists it as uncharacterized. The record is from RefSeq and is a predicted model, not a curated record. Lineage: Eukaryota; Metazoa; Chordata; Mammalia; Carnivora; Felidae. The transcript is spliced from 3 exons.